Molecule: ribosomal RNA, 393 nt
Filed under: uncultured bacterium
Lineage: Bacteria
Description: partial 16S ribosomal RNA
Rfam family: Bacterial small subunit ribosomal RNA
Source: RNAcentral
AUACGGAGGAUCCGAGCGUUAUCCGGAUUUAUUGGGUUUAAAGGGUGCGCAGGCGGGAGAUUAAGUCGGCGGUGGAAAUUUUCAGGUCCACUUUAAAAAUGUCUUUGGAACUGGGUUCCCUUAGUGGAGUUGAAGGAAGGGGGAUUUUUGGUGUAGCGGGUGAAUGCAUAGAUAUCACGAGGAACUCCGAUUGCGCAGGCAGCUAACUAAACUACUACUGACGCUCAGGCACGAAGGCGUGGGGAUCAAACAGGAUUAGAUACCCUGGUAGUCCACGCAGUAAACGAUGAUUACUAGCUGUUUGCGAUACAAUGUAAGCGGCUGAGCGAAAGCGUUAAGUAAUCCACCUGGGGAGUACGUUCGCAAGAAUGAAACUCAAAGGAAUUGACGGGG